GGGAUUGUGGCCUAGUGGUUAAGAGCGUCGGACUUACGAUCUGAAGGUCGGAGGUUCGAUUCCCGAUCCCA
Molecule: non-coding RNA, 71 nt
Organism: Macrostomum lignano
Lineage: Eukaryota; Metazoa; Platyhelminthes; Macrostomidae
Source: Rfam